Long non-coding RNA from Dinoponera quadriceps, 374 nucleotides. RefSeq lists it as uncharacterized. Lineage: Eukaryota; Metazoa; Arthropoda; Insecta; Hymenoptera; Formicidae. The record is from RefSeq and is a predicted model, not a curated record. The transcript is spliced from 3 exons.
AUGGUCGGUCAGCUCAUGGCUCGGCAUGCAGAUGGGGUCACAUUGGAGAUAAUCAAAGAGGAAAAGAUCGCUGUGGAAACUUCGUUGAGAUAAGCAAUACAGUUGAUCACGACCGCUUCGCUGGUCAGUCGCUGCAGGAAGAGCACAGAGGUAAAGAGAUUAAGUGCCUUGACGAAAAUAAAGGACCACCAAACGUCCUGCAACGGAAUAAAUGAGCUCUUCCGAUCCUUCCGGUUCUUAAGCUGAUCCGCAGACCUGCAAGUAUGUUUGGGCCUCGCGGGUACGCAGUGUCUGUUGCGUACAUCCUCUUCUAGGACGUAACAGCGCCUGCUGACAAAACUUGACAGCAAAUUGACAGUAGAAACUAAACAAGA